GUUAGUACUGGAUGGUGUGAGCGAGGUCCCCCAGCUGCACCACAGCAGGGCAGGAGACAGCAGCCCCCACCCAGCCAGGCACAGGCCCAGUGCCUCUGUGGGACUCCAUCCAGGACUUGUUGAAAUGGCCGAUGAUACAAAGGAGCCCCGACUUCACCCAUGGCCAGCUUCCCUCGCCAUCCUCCCUGCAGCCAAAGGACUCGCCCUCACCUGUUCUUUCUGAGACAAAUCAUCUGCCAGGUUUCCGCCUCGGGACACCCAAGCUCAGCACAGACAGCCUAGCAGCCUGGGUGACAGGAUCCCAGGGGACAGGAUUCUCUCCUUGCCAUGGGGAUGAGGACAAAUUCUCCCUUCAUCCUUGAGAUUGGACUCCCGCCACACAUCCUGGAGGAGCCUACAGAGAAGCCGGCAGGUCUCCCUCACCUGGAUGGUGCCAGCGGGUGGCCUGGACCACCCAGAGGCCCUCUCCUGCACCUGACAGGAAGCCCCUGGGGCAUACGUCUCCCCUGCCACUUCCACUGUGGCCACUGGAAGUGUGGCAGAGAAAAUAGCUAGGACAAAAAGAAGUCAAUGAUUUCAACCAACGGAAUUUCUUUGUCCUUUGUAAAAAUCAACACAUGAUCUGUUACUGAUUGGGAUGUGAAAUAAAACUAAAAAUAACAGCACACUGAGCCUGGCUCAGGGCUCAGCUCACCUUUACCACGGUCCAAGUUCAGUUUAUCAGAUCCCAAGGAGCAGCUAAGCAGCAAGUCAAACACAGGUGAGGGUGGAGGGCGGAGGGCGGAGCGGGGAGGGGGCUCUGGCCCUCUGCGUGCCCCCACCAACCCCCAGGUAGAGAACCAGCCAGCUCACCAGGGAGUGUGGCCAAGCAAGAAGCUAUACACAGAAUUCUGAGCCCACACCCUAAUCUGCCUCAGGUGGGGAGGCCACUCACUUCCCUUUUUGCCUCAGUUUCCCCACUGGGGUUACCAGGGUCUUCUGGCACAUUCCCUUGUUUUAAGGAACGGUGGAAGAGGGGUCCCCUUGAGAUCAGGUUAAGCUGUGAAACAUCCUGCCAGCGCCACAGGCCACUGGGUCCUGGAAGGUCAGGCCACAAAGACC
RNAcentral lists this long non-coding RNA (1101 nucleotides) under Homo sapiens (human). RNAcentral's name for it is "HSALNT0176907". Lineage: Eukaryota; Metazoa; Chordata; Mammalia; Primates; Hominidae. The record is from RNAcentral.